This 315-nucleotide ribosomal RNA is filed under the name uncultured bacterium. RNAcentral describes it as "bacterial SSU rRNA". It matches the Rfam family "Bacterial small subunit ribosomal RNA", at positions 28 to 334 of the family's 1533-position model. The record is from RNAcentral.
GAUGAACGCUAGCGACAGGCCUAACACAUGCAAGUCGAGGGGCAGCAUUAUUCUAGCUUGCUAGAAUAGAUGGCGACCGGCGCACGGGUGAGUAACGCGUAUGCAACCUACCUCUUACAGGGGAAUAGCCCGAAGAAAUUCGGAUUAAUGCCCCAUGGUUCUGUUUUACUGCAUGGUAAAACAGAUAAAGUUCCGGCGGUAAGAGAUGGGCAUGCGUUCCAUUAGUUAGUUGGUAGGGUAACGGCCUACCAAGGCAGCGAUGGAUAGGGGUUCUGAGAGGAUAGUCCCCCACACUGGUACUGAGACACGGACCAG